GACGAACGCUGGCGGCGUGCCUAACACAUGCAAGUCGAGCGAGGGGAGUUCUUCGGAACAAACCUAGCGGCGGACGGGUGAGUAACACGUGGGCAACCUACCUCAAAGAGGGGGAUAGCCUCCCGAAAGGGAGAUUAAUACCGCAUAAAAUCAUGCUCUCGCAUGGGAGAAUGAUCAAAGGAGCAAUCCGCUUUGAGAUGGGCCCGCGGCGCAUUAGC
This 218-nucleotide ribosomal RNA is filed under the name uncultured bacterium. Its description in RNAcentral is "partial 16S ribosomal RNA". It matches the Rfam family "Bacterial small subunit ribosomal RNA", at positions 28 to 245 of the family's 1533-position model. The record is from RNAcentral.